Molecule: ribosomal RNA, 811 nt
Filed under: uncultured bacterium
Lineage: Bacteria
Description: bacterial SSU rRNA
Rfam family: Bacterial small subunit ribosomal RNA
Source: RNAcentral
GCAUGCAAGUCGAACGGAUCCUUUGGAUCGUCUAAAGGUGAGAGNGGCGAACGGGUGAGUAACACGUUGGUGACCUGCCCCAGAGAGGGGGAUAACUAUUGGAAACGAUAGCUAAUACCCCGGAUGUUAUUGAGUUUAGAAAUCAAUGACUAAAGCUCCGGCGCUCUGGGAGGGGCCUGCGUCCCAUCAGCUAGUUGGUAAGGUAAUGGCUUACCAAGGCAAAGACGGGUAGGGGGCGUGAGAGCGUGACCCCCCACACUGGUACUGAAACACGGACCCAGAUACCUACGGGUAGCAGCAGCAAGGAAUAUUGCGCAAUGGGCGAAAGCCUGACGCAGCAACACCGCGUGGAGGAUGAAGGCCUUCGGGUUGUAAACUCCUUUUCUAAGGGAAGAAAAAGGACGGUACCUUAGGAAUAAGGCCCGGCUAACUACGUGCCAGCAGCCGCGGUAAAACGUAGGGGUCGAGCGUUAUCCGGAUUUACUGGGCGUAAAGAGCAUGUAGGCGGCGAUCUAAGUCGGACGUGAAAGCUCCUGGCUCAACUGGGAGAGGUCGUUCGAAACUAGAUUGCUCGAGGAUGGUAGAGGUAAGUGGAAUUCUAGGUGUAGUGGUGAAAUGCGUAGAUAUCUAGAGGAACACCAGUGGCGAAGGCGGCUUACUGGGCCAUUCCUGACGCUGAGAUGCGAAAGCUAGGGGAGAGAACGGGAUCAGAAACCCCGGUAUUCCUAGCCGUAAACGAUGUCAACUAGGUGUAGGAGGUAUUGACCCCUUCUGUGCUGUAGCUAACGCGUUAAGUUGACCGCCUGGGGAC